This 995-nucleotide ribosomal RNA is filed under the name Haliclona oculata. RNAcentral describes it as "bacterial SSU rRNA". It matches the Rfam family "Eukaryotic small subunit ribosomal RNA", at positions 1 to 1078 of the family's 1831-position model. The record is from RNAcentral. Lineage: Eukaryota; Metazoa; Porifera; Demospongiae; Haplosclerida; Chalinidae.
AACCUGGUUGAUCCUGCCAGUAGUCAUAUGCUUGUCUCAAAGAUUAAGCCAUGCAUGUCUAAGUAUAAGCUUUUAUACAGCGAAACUGCGAAUGGCUCAUUAUAACAGUUAUAGUUUAUUCGGUAUUGUUUGCUACAUGGAUAACCGUGGUAAUUCUAGAGCUAAUACGUGCUUCAAGGCCUUUUUGGCUGCAGUUAUUAGAUUUUGACCUAACUUUUUAGUGAUUUAUAGUAACUUAGCGAAUCAUUAUUAUAGACCGUUCAAGUUUCUGACCUAUCAGCUUUUGACGGUAAGGUAUUGGCUUACCGUGGCAUUGACGGGUAACGGGGAAUUAGGGUUCGAUUCCGGAGAGGGAGCCUGAGAGACGGCUACCACAUCUAAGGAAGGCAGCAGGUGCGCAAAUUACCCAAUCCUGACACAGGGAGGUAGUGACAAGAAAUAACAAAGCAGAGCACAGAGUGUUUUGCUAUUGGAAUGAGUGGGAGGUAAAAAUCCCCACGAGUAGCAAUUGGAGGGCAAGUCUGGUGCCAGCAGCCGCGGUAAUUCCAGCUCCAAUAGCGUAUAUUAAAGUUGUUGCAGUUAAAAAGCUCGUAGUUGAAGUUGUGUUUCGCUGUGGCUCAGUGGCGGUCGUCACUGAACUCAACGAUUCAUUUUCCCAUUUGAAUUUUUGGGACUGUUACUUUGAGGAAAUUAGAGUGCUCCAAGCAAGCUUUGCUUUGAAUACUACAGCAUGGUAUAACGAUAUAAGACUUUUGUCAAUGUCGUUGGGUCCGGACAAAAGUAAAGAUUAAUAGGAGCGGUUGGGGGCAUUCGUAUUCAACAGUCAGAGGUGAAAUUCUUGGGAUUUGUUGGAAGACGACUAGUGCGAAGCAUCUGCCCAAGACGUUUUCAUUAAUCAAGAACGAAAGUUAGGGGAUCGAGACGAUAGAAACCGUCGUAGUCUUAACCAUAAAACUAUGCCGACUAGGGAUUGGAAGGUUGGUCCAUCUCGACUC